Molecule: transfer RNA, 73 nt
Filed under: Variovorax sp. WDL1
Lineage: Bacteria; Pseudomonadati; Pseudomonadota; Betaproteobacteria; Burkholderiales; Comamonadaceae
Also listed under: 1 other name
Description: tRNA-Ala
Rfam family: tRNA
About the family: Transfer RNA (tRNA) molecules are approximately 80 nucleotides in length.
Source: RNAcentral
GGGGGUGUAGCUCAAUUGGUAGAGCGCCUGCUUUGCAAGCAGAUUGUCGCAAGUUCGAUUCUUGUCACCUCCA